RNAcentral lists this long non-coding RNA (1007 nucleotides) under Lynx pardinus (Iberian lynx). Lineage: Eukaryota; Metazoa; Chordata; Mammalia; Carnivora; Felidae. The record is from RNAcentral.
ACUCACCUGCUCUAGCCCCUCCUUGAGCAAACAGGGUGAGGCUGGGCUCCUAGCAGGAACCCUAACAUCCGGGUGGCCCCGCCGCACCCUUGCAAACGCCACAUCCUGCUCCAGGACCCUCAGGUUUGGAGCUGAACCAACGGUCUUGGUGGAGGGGCAGCAAACAGCCUCUUGGCCCCUCUCUUCUCCCAGCCUGCUUUGCGCUCUGAGAAGAAGCUGCAGGCUGAUUGCCCACAGCUGAGUGGCUUGACCAUCCAUGUGUUUACAAAUGUGUUUUUAAUUAGCGACCAAUUUUUAAAAUUGGAGAGGUUUCACUUUUAAAAAUCUGAAUUUCUAGGGGCGCCUGGGUGGCGCAGUCGGUUAAGCGUCCGACAUCAGCCAGGUCACGAUCUCGCGGUCCGUGAGUUCGAGCCCUGCGUCGGGCUCUGGGCUGAUGGCUCAGAGCCUGUUUCCGAUUCUGUGUCUCCCUCUCUCUCUGCCCCUCCCCCGUUCAUGCUCUGUCUCUCUCUGUCCCAAAAAUAAAAUAAAAAACGUUGAAAAAAAAAUUAAAAAUCUGAAUUUCUAAUUUGUCUCAUUUCCAGUCUUUCUAAAUUUUCUGGAGAGACCUGUUGCGGCCACACCCGGCUCCCAUUCCUACUUGGCAACCAAGGGUGGACCCAGAGCUGGAAGCAGGACAGCGGAAUGGCGCGAACAGCCACCUGCAUGAUCCAGUUAGUGUUCCUGGGGCUUCAGGCCCGACGAGUGGAUUCUAGCCUGGGUGCCUUUGCCCACUCCAGGCAUUUCUGUAAAACCGGACUCUUACCUCCUAGGGGGGCUGGACCCGAUUCCCACACCUCCUACUUAUUUAUCCCAGAGGUUCUGAGCCCAGGGUCCAGUCGUGGUUUGGGAGAACGACUGUGAGCCGCCUGAAUUUGUAAAACUGGGUAUGUGGGCGCAUUUCUAGACAGAGGACCCUUAAGUUGAUCCCACGUCCCAGCCCGCAUCCCAGGACUUUUAGGAGGCCAAGC